CAACAGGGAUUGCCCCAGUAACGGCGAGUGAAGCGGCAACAGCUCAAAUUUGAAAUCUGGCCUCGUGCCCGAGUUGUAAUUUGUAGAGGAUGCUUCUGGCGACGCGCCUUCCGAGUUCCCUGGAACGGGACGCCAUAGAGGGUGAGAGCCCCGUCCGGUCGUGCGCCUAGCCUCUGUGAAGCUCCUUCGACGAGUCGAGUAGUUUGGGAAUGCUGCUCUAAAUGGGAGGUAUACGUCUUCUAAAGCUAAAUACCGGCCAGAGACCGAUAGCGCACAAGUAGAGUGAUCGAAAGAUGAAAAGCACUUUGAAAAGAGGGUUAAAUAGUACGUGAAAUUGCUGAAAGGGAAGCGCUUAUGACCAGACUUGGGCGCGGCGGAUCAUCCGGCGUUCUCGCCGGUGCACUCCACCGCCCCAGGCCAGCAUCAGCUCGCGCCGGGGGACAAAGGCUUCGGGAAUGUGGCUCCCUCGGGAGUGUUAUAGCCCGUUGCGUAAUACCCUGGUGCGGGCUGAGGUCCGCGCUCUGCAAGGAUGC
This 533-nucleotide ribosomal RNA is filed under the name Stanjemonium ochroroseum. Its description in RNAcentral is "eukaryotic LSU rRNA". It matches the Rfam family "Eukaryotic large subunit ribosomal RNA", at positions 66 to 626 of the family's 3401-position model. The record is from RNAcentral. Lineage: Eukaryota; Fungi; Ascomycota; Sordariomycetes; Hypocreales; Bionectriaceae.